Molecule: ribosomal RNA, 470 nt
Filed under: Feraxinia serena
Lineage: Eukaryota; Metazoa; Arthropoda; Insecta; Lepidoptera; Noctuidae
Description: partial 16S large subunit ribosomal RNA
Source: RNAcentral
UGUCUUUUUGAAAAUAAUAUAAAGUCUAAUCUGCCCACUGAUUUAAAUUAAAGGGCUGCAGUAUAUUGACUGUACAAAGGUAGCAUAAUCAUUAGUCAUUUAAUUGAUGACUUGUAUGAAAGAUUGGAUGAAAUAUAAACUGUCUCUUAAUUAAAAAUAGAAUUUAAUUUUUUAAUUAAAAAGUUAAAAUAAUUUAAAAAGACGAGAAGACCCUAUAGAGUUUUAUAGAUAAAUUAAUUAAGGUUAUUUAUUAAAAUUAAAAUUAAUUUAUUUAUUCUAUUGGGGUGAUAGAAAAAUAUAUUUAACUUUUUUUUUUAUAAAAACAUUUAUAAGUGAUUAAAUGAUCCAUUAUUAAUGAUUAUAAGAAAAAAUUACCUUAGGGAUAACAGCGUAAUUUUUUUUUUUAGUUCACAUAAGAAAAAGAGUUUGCGACCUCGAUGUUGGAUUAAGAUAAAAUUUAAAUGCAGAAG